GAAAUUCUUCGGGGCAGGGUUAAAUUCCCGACCGGCGGUAUAGUCCGCGACCUGAUACUGGAUUAUAAGUUAUAACCAACUUUUAAGUUAAUAACAGCUUUUAAGUUAGACUAACUUACUGGUAGCAGCUGAUUUGGUGUAAUUCCAAAACCGACAGUAAAGUCUGGAUGUGAGAAGAAACUG
RNAcentral lists this non-coding RNA (183 nucleotides) under Anaerocolumna jejuensis. Its description in RNAcentral is "FMN sequence". It matches the Rfam family "FMN riboswitch aptamer (RFN element)". Rfam says of the family: The RFN element is a highly conserved domain that is found frequently in the 5'-untranslated regions of prokaryotic mRNAs that encode for flavin mononucleotide (FMN) biosynthesis and transport proteins. This element is a metabolite-dependent riboswitch that directly binds FMN in the absence of proteins. In Bacillus subtilis, the riboswitch most likely controls gene expression by causing premature transcription termination within the 5' untranslated region of the ribDEAHT operon and precluding access to the ribosome-binding site of ypaA mRNA. Lineage: Bacteria; Bacillati; Bacillota; Clostridia; Lachnospirales; Lachnospiraceae. The record is from RNAcentral. RNAcentral also lists the same sequence under 1 other name.